AGUGGGAGGGGAAGGGUGGGGAGAGGGAGGGCUGGCGGGUGGGAAAAGCUGCAGCCCGCUUUCCAGAAGCUGCUGCACACAUCAAAGGCACCUUGAACGCACGCAGCUGGAGCAGCGCGCAAAGUUCCUGCGGCCGCAGCUGUAUAAUUGGAGAUAUAUUUUAUGGCACAUGGCAUUUACUUAUGAAAAUUGUCGCAGCAAGGUUCCCCGUGGUUGAAAUAGCUUCCCAGCCCAAAGGCAUCUAGAUACUGAGUUUUGUCAUUUAAUACUGGUAAGUGCUUAGCAUUUAUUGAGUGCUUUCAAUUUGUUUGUAUUAAGAGCACAGAUUCAGGCAUUUUAUGUUUUAUCACACUAAUAAUAUAAACUUUAAUUUUUAGAUGCCUACAUAUAAUUACAGGUCUCAGGGCUUUUAAGGAGAGGCAGCUCUUUGCAAUGUUUCUUAAAGCUAGGCAAUGUGUUCAAUAAGUCCAAACCUCUGAAGAAAGGCUGAAGGAAGGAAAGAAAUAUAUGCGUACAAUAAUAACAAUAAAUGCAAAAUGCAAAACCUCUGAGAUGACCAUACAAAAAAUAAAAAGGAAAUCAAAAGCAUAUUUUUUCCUCUUUCAGUGUCAUUUAUAUUAAAUGCCCUAGAGGGGGCUUUAGUUAUAGACUGCAAAAGAAAAAUUACAUAUUCCGGUAAGUGCUAUUGUUUAACAAAAAGCGUUUAUGGCUGCUUAUAAUGAGCAAGUUUUAGGUCAGAUGGGGUCUUGGCCAGAGUCCUGGGAGCUGUACUUGGAGGUGUAUAAUUUGCUAGGCCAGCUACCGGCUGAGCAGGGGUGGGUGGUAUUAAAGAGCUAUCUCCAGUCAGCUCCAGAGCGGGGAGAAUCAAGGGCAUGUUUGUUUAUUUAAAGGAGGCAGAUCAGAUAAUAACUGGAUUAAAAAGAGAAGAAAGAAGGGAAGACCCCUCUUCCCCUGCUCGCACAGUUUAUCAGCCAGGAACACUUCACACUUCCCUACAGCAGUCUGUGAAACCUGAUUCGAGGGGCAGGCUCCUCUCCCGCUGUGGUGCUGGGAAUAUCUGAGUUCCCAGGGCCACAGAGAGGUGAGGGAGAUGAGGAAAAAUCUCUGCCCAUAAUUCAAGAUAAAAAUAGCAUCUGAAAGCGAAUGACCUUUGCUGGGACACGAGGACAGGAUCCUGCCUUUGAGAGCCUGCCCUGGUCAGCCCGGAUGCGUGACCCGCUUACCAUGCCGCCAACCUCUGCGUAAUGGCAGCAGGGCUGUGGUACAGCCUGCGCUCACUGCCAGGCUCAGGGUCUCACUGUCACACAGGAGUGGAUGAGUGGAGCAUGAACCAACCCAUCCAUUCCUUCUCCCCAUCUUUCUUGAGCUCACAGGAAUUUGGGGACAUUUCUUUGCAUGGAUAGCACACAUCUCCCUCCCGUCUUGUGAUAACAUCAUAAAAAUGAAUGAGAUGCAAGUGAUGACUAGUUGUGUUCUAUUUGUGGGGAGUUUAAGCUGUGAAUGAAAAUCCACCUGAGAAAAGUGGAUUGUGUCUAAAGGAUUCACAUAGCAGAUAUCAAAACAAUGCACGGGGCUUGAGCAGAGCAUUUAUUGCAUACUGGGAUUCUGGUGAGAAAUCAAAGGGAUGUGUGAGCAUGCAGUAUUUAAGAGACUAUAACAUCUUCUCUUGUCGCUGUGGAGUGAAAUACAUUGUGGAAAUACAGUUUAAGCUAAACCAACUUCUUAAUAAAAAAUAGAAACACACGGUGAAUCUUUACACUAACUCUGUUAUCACACUUUGAAGAGAAAGGUGUUUACUUUAUUAAAGACUGAACCCUGCUUAAUUUAAGCAUCCCCAUUGACGUCUAAGGAUUACAAAGAAAAAGACUAGGCCUUCAAAUGAGGCAAGUUUUAGGAACAGAAUCAGUUUAUGGAAAGCCAGAAAAAAAAAAUUGUCAUGAAAAGUUUUUAUGACAACAAGGGGAGGCAGAAGAAAGGGGAGCACUGGCUGGAUGGGAGACAUCAUGGAGGGCUGGAAUUAAAUUCUGAUUGUGGGGCAGGGAAAUGAGAGAGGAUUUUCUUUGUCAUUAGGCUUUCAUUCACAAAAUGAUUUUUUAAUGGGUCAUAUCUUGUUGUCAUGCAGAGGUAAAUAGACUUUAUGAGGUUUCCUCUGCUCUGGUUGACAAUAUUAUGCUCUUAAAUUGCAAAGGAGUAUUAUUGUUUGGGAAGGGAUUUGAUCGGGUGUGGGUGCUAUACCAUGUGUAAUUCUACUCACCAGUACCUCAAGGAGAACUUUUGAUGAUGAAAAGGAGGAAAAAAAUAAUAGAGGAAGACACAAUGACAAAAUACCUAAGUAGUAUGUGGUUGUGGAAGAAUCCCCUCCAACAGAAAAAUGCUUGAAGUUACAGUAGGCAGGGAGCAGCUGGAGAGCAGCCGACAGCACAAGAGAGAGCACAUGGGAAACAGCGAGAGAUGAAGCAUGAAGAAGAAGAAUUUAAAUCAAGUGAAAAGCGAAGAACCCAAUGUCACUAAAGCUGUCAGUGUAGAGCCGUUCUUUUGGUUUUGUCCUUCUCUAUGGCUACUUGUUUUAUUUAUCCCUAGCCAGAGUCCAGUCAUUCAUCUUUACUUACUGGUGCAAUCUGCCUUGGCUUGCCUGUUGGUAUUCUGAGAAAGACACGUCUAGGAGUGGGCAUUGAGAUCAACUCUUUCUGUUUUCCUAUAAAAUACCUAUUUUAAUGCAUUGAAGCCAAAAACUAAACUUGGUGUCAGGCAAACCAGACCGAGGAAGAAAAUGUUAAAGGACAGUGUUUUAUUGAUCAAGUUGAGCCUAAUGAUACCAGCAGAAAUUAUAACGGGCCUGGCACUGGUCUGCAGUUCUACAGUGUCACAUACCUCUUCUCAAACUAUUGGUGAGAUGGAGAAAAGUUGAAGGGUUAGCAUGGGAAUAUGUGAGUACCACAGAGACAGUUUGCAGGUUUCCAUCAGUUCAUUGCUUAUCAGUAAUUUCUUUCUCUGUUUUCAUUUUCUCUAAUCACAGAGGGAAUAGAAUUAUUAGAGGAAGCUGUAAGUGAUUUAAUACCUCUAGAUGCAAACUGCAGUGAAGUAAUAAAGUAUUUUUAUCAUGUAAAUGAAAAUAAUUAGUGAUAAAGAUAGCACAAUUUUUUUUUUUGUAGGUAAUAGAGGUAAUAAAAAUACUGCAAAUCCUGCUGUCAUUAGAAGUCACUUAUAAAUUGGUGACUGCAAACAGUAGCUAUAUGAGUGAAAUGAUUAGUAUCCUGCCUGUGCUACUAAUUUGACAGGACCAAAAAUAUCCACUUAAAAAUACACUGCUUGAAUAUAGGUUUCAGUCCUUUAAACUGAUGUAUAGAGAAUGACCCAUCCUACAUAGAUGCUAAUUUCAGAGCUGGUUGGUUUUAAUUACAGAAGCGAUACAUGUUCUGUUUGGUGGUUGAUUUGUUGAUUUUUAAUUAAAAACAAACAAACAAAACCCACCAAGAAUAUUAAUACCAGAUUCGGAGACAUUCUUAGUAAGAAAAAAAUUAUCAACCAUCCUCCAAAGGCAGCAAAUUCAAAAUGAAAGGCUGAAACUCACCCUAAAGUUUUGUCUGUAGAUAGGAAAUAGCUAGAGUUAUUCUAUCAACUCUGUCCUUGAGGAUAAAUAUGGUUUUUGUUUGUUUGUUCGCUUGUUUUUUAAAUCCUCGUGUAACCUCAGCAGUGUCCCACCAAGGGAGAGGGACGGGGUGGGUGCUGCAGCAAAGAGCUCCCUGCUCGGAUCUCCCCGGUGCUGAAGCCCGCGGCUGUGCAGGCAUUGCAGCGAGGAGUGCAGCUCGCCGGCACUAGAGGGCACAGCAACAGCUCCUCUGGAGCCCCUGGACACGCUAACCCUAACAAAUCCGGCUCCUUAAUGACUGUGGGUGAGUUUUUAAAGUUGUUUUUUAUCAAUUUUUCUCUUUAUCCUUAGAGGGUUUUCUUAAAGCAUAUAUCCCUUUUUAUCUCUCUGGCCCGGUGGUGGUUUUUAAAUAAAAGUUUCCUGUAAAGAAACACAAUUAGUCAUUUUCCCUCUGGAUUUACACACAUCAUGAGAAUAAACUCCAGUGUCUGAUACCCUAGACAAGCACACUGCUGCAACACUUGAAGGGAAAUCCUGUCCAUGUCACAGCAAGGACAGAGAGAUUAACGAGUCUGCUAUGGGAUGGCAUUUCCUAUUUUACUGCAUGUAGCCAUGUUACUGCUGAUCCAAUGUUGGUCACCUUUAUAGGAACAAGGUUUUGUGAAAGAAAAUAUAAUUAAAAAGGUGUCCUAAAGGAAAAUACUUUAAAGUUUGAAUUUUAAUAUGCAUAAAGUCAGCUCUAAAAUAAUCUUAUAAUUUUUUUACUGCUGGAAUUACAUUCUCAAUUUUGAGAAGUACCUGCCCAUUCCUUUUCUCAUUUCUGUGACAAACGAUGGCUGCAUAAUCCACUUUACCAACCCAACAUCAUUGCAUCAGGACAAAAUAAUACAGCAAAAAGCUACAGCUAUUCUGUCGUGGUUAGAGUGGUGCUUUAUUUUGGUAGCCAAACUGGAGGCACUGACUGGAGAAGAGUUAUUAUUGUGCCGCCUGGUUUUCUUGCUGCUUUGCAAUUGACAAAGCAUCAUUUAUCAUGCUUUGCAUUCCAAUUUUUCUUUGCAUGUUUUCCAGCUCAUCAUAACAUAAUUAUGUUUCUGUUUCUUCCAGCCAGGGGCCGAUACUUUCUUUUACUAAGACAACAGCUGCACUGCACAACCUUGAUGAAUCCCCAUAAGGGUAAAUGUGUCUGUGGUGCUUGUUUCUGCCUUGGCAACCCAAAUGUUCAAGAUCUUUUUUAUGACAAAUGAUGUUUUAAAAAAGGACCCAACCCUGGUGCUUUCAUAGCAUUUUUCAAAGUUAGGUUUUGUGUUGUAAUUUAGAUUUGAAAUAUUAAAUGUCCUGGCGGGUUUGCAAUUUUAAGGCUUCUUUCAUAACAUUUCUUUUUGUAGUGUUUAUAGAUUUGUAAAUGCUGAGAGGGGAUUUUACAGGGCCAUAAUAAUUGAUAUGAAAUUUAUUUUUUGAAUGCAAUUGAUUUUAUGCGUGAGUAUCAGCACAACAUAGAGGUAUGUGUUAUGCUCCUAAAAGGCAUCAUAAGGCUUCUGUAGUGGUACAGGUGAGUCAUGUCUUAACUUGGCCUCGGUUGCUCCAGCCACACUGAAAGGUAAGGGUAAUUAUAUCAGCCUGGUUUAUGAAGUGCUAGUGUUGAAAAUGUCAUGGAAGACAUGGUGCUUUUAUUAUUACUUAUUGAGAUAUAUUUAACUCUAAUUUGGUGCAUUGUACCUGAGAUUUUGAAGUGGUUUCAAAAGGAAGGAUAUUUUUAUUUUGCAAGGGAGAAAUCAGGGCAGAGACAAAUAGGGCUCAAUACUGGAGGUAAGCCAAGGCCCGGAUCCAUUCUUAAUGGCUCCCAGUUUUGUUUACCCAAUUAUACAAUUAGUAUUUCCGAUCUCAUCUCAAAAUACAGCAUCAGAGCCCCAGGAACAACUCAAGCAGUAACUUUUCAGUCAUUAAGGAUUCCCUAGAUUUACAAAUACAGGGAAUACUGUGCCCUGGACAAUAUCACAGUCUGGACAAAUGCAUUCUUCAGGGUGAAGUGUUCCCUCCAAUUCUGCUUUCUAUGCUAAUGUCUUGGGUGUUAUUACUGCUGCCACCACUGUUUGAAGUUUAGCUAUAUUUCAGGGGUAAAAUUACAAAACUUUUAUACAUGGAGGCAAGAGCUCUAGCUCAUGAUCACUCUUAGUUACAUCUAUCUGUGCAGUGAUCUAAGGAUGCUUUGGAAUGUGUGAGCACAAAAGCAUAGGUAGGAAUGUUUCAGUUCUGUCCAUCACAUUGAUUACUGAUUACUGCCUAAAGGGCUCUUAGGUGUUGAUAGGAACUGUACCUGUUUAGCCAGGGAUAAAUCCAUCUUCCAUCCACAAAUCGUGAGUGUUGACUGUUGUUAGAGAAGGUAGCAGGCCUAUUGUUUUGGCUAUACAUUGAACUUAUGGAUGAUGAGAAGAGUUUGCCUUGUGUUAUUUCUUCCUUAUAACCCCAUGGCAAAUUCUAGAAGAUUCUGCCCAUGUAUUUAUAUAUACAUAUAUAUAUAUGUAUGUAUAUUUUCUCAUUUAUCCUUGGUUUCUCUACUGUGGCCACUCACACACAUUCAACGUAAGGCUGUGUAAGAUGUGCAUUUUCUUUCUGAUUCAUGUACAGUAAUUACUUCCUAACAUCUGCCUAACAGAUUUUGUAAGAAAAGUAACUCUGCAAAUAUUAAAAAAAAAUAAUGUAUGAAA
Oxyura jamaicensis (ruddy duck) is the source of this 6294-nucleotide long non-coding RNA. RefSeq lists it as uncharacterized. NCBI's taxonomy places the organism in Eukaryota, Metazoa, Chordata, Aves, Anseriformes, Anatidae. The transcript is spliced from 2 exons. The record is from RefSeq and is a predicted model, not a curated record.